RNAcentral lists this ribosomal RNA (119 nucleotides) under Cinara cedri. The record is from RNAcentral. Lineage: Eukaryota; Metazoa; Arthropoda; Insecta; Hemiptera; Aphididae.
GCCAACGACCAUACCACGUUGAAUACACCAGUUCUCGUCCGAUCACUGAAGUUAAGCAACGUCGGGCGUAGUUAGUACUUGGGUGGGUGACCGCUUGGGAACACUACGUGCCGUUGGCU